GUGAACAUCGAGAAGCAGGUGCUGUUGAGGUUGAUAGUGAUGGGGAAGAAGAGUCUUCCGGACCCGAGCAAACGGAGCCGACCUCACUGGGGGUUUGUGGAGAUGGUCACUACCAAGAUCGAUGAUAUCAAGUCGGCUCUUAAAGCAGAGGAGUAUGACACUUCCACAAGGGGACACCGCCACACGGCUGCAGCCAGAGCGUUGGGGGAGGAGUGUACCGCAUACUUAGACACAAAUCCAAGGGGAAUAAAGCGCACACGCAUCUCAUAUACAAGCUCGAAUUCCCUCCGGAAGAUGAGAAGCAGGAGCCCCAGGAGUCGCUCAACGUCGAAAGAGAAGGGUCCUUCCUCAUCCAGAUCAAGAACCCUGACCAGCACGGUGCCGGCCCUUCCCAGUUCAGGGGACUCCAGAGCAAGCGCAAGGCGGUGUUCCCCGCCCACCUACAGGGACAGUUCGGGCAGUUGAGGUACAGCCCGGCUGACCCGGCCGACUUCCUGAACUACGAAGGGUGUGAGUUGCUGUUGAUAUCGGCAUCAGACGACAUAGAGGAAGAGCUGGGGUUAGAGCUCAAAGCGGAAGGAGAGGCCGAUCCCUCAUGUUCCGAUCAGCUCGAGACGUUCGGGGAAACUGCACCCGUGGAUGCCCUCCUCAGGGCCACCUGGGUCUGAAUUUCAAUCUUUCUGAUACUUUUUGGUCUGUGUUUAACUAGGAGGACCCGUUUCAUGUUUCUACUGCAGUUGGGCAUGUGUAA
Eucalyptus grandis is the source of this 751-nucleotide RNA transcript. RefSeq lists it as uncharacterized. The transcript has 2 exons. NCBI's taxonomy places the organism in Eukaryota, Viridiplantae, Streptophyta, Magnoliopsida, Myrtales, Myrtaceae. The record is from RefSeq and is a predicted model, not a curated record.